GUGGCAGGGAGGGUGUUUCCAGAAAGUGAGAUUUUUUCCAAUAUGCUAUUUAUUAAAAGUAUUUAAAAUGAACAUCUGACAGGAGGACACUUUUAUGUGAAAGAAUUUACUUGUCAAGGGGACUCACACUUUGCUACUAAAAUAGGAUAUUGCAAAUAUAUUUAACAUGUAAGAUCAAAGCCUAUAAGUUCUCAUAAGACUCUUAAAAUUAAUUUUCUUGGCAUUUAAAGAGCAUGCACACCAAAGAGAGUGGAGGAAGUUUUAUUUCUGUUUGCCUUGUGUGGUGAGUUGCUGGAGAAGACAGAAGGCAUGCUAGAAUUAGUCAAACCCUUAGAAGAUGGAUCUAAAUCAAGACACAAGUAAGGCAUGAUGUGAAGUCCAUCACAAACAGAGCUGGAUGGAGGACCUUAUCUAGCCUUUUGGCGUAUUUUACAAGCUAUUAACCCAAUGAAUACAUUGGGACAUUACUCAAUGUCUAACUUAAGACACAAAAAAUAAACGUGAAAUCAAAUUGCACUGGUAGAAAACAUGAA
This is a long non-coding RNA of Panthera uncia (snow leopard), 533 nucleotides long. RefSeq lists it as uncharacterized. The transcript has 3 exons. The record is from RefSeq and is a predicted model, not a curated record. Lineage: Eukaryota; Metazoa; Chordata; Mammalia; Carnivora; Felidae.